GAUGAACGCUGGCGGUAUGCUUAACACAUGCAAGUCGAACGGACUCUUCGGAGUUAGUGGCGGACGGGUGAGUAACGCGUGAGAAUCUGGCUUUGGGUUCGGGACAACCACUGGAAACGGUGGCUGAUACCGGAUGUGCCGAGAGGUAAAAGAGAAAUUGCCUGAAGAUGAGCUCGCGUCUGAUUAGCUAGUUGGUGAGGUAAGGGCUCACCAAGGCAGCGAUCAGUAGCUGGUCUGAGAGGAUGACCAGCCACACUGGGACUGAGACACGGCCCAGACUCCUACGGGAGGCAGCAGUGGGGAAUUUUCCGCAAUGGGCGAAAGCCUGACGGAGCAAUACCGCGUGAGGGAAGAAGGCUCUUGGGUUGUAAACCUCUUUUCUUAGGGAAGAACAAAAUGACGGUACCUAAGGAAUCAGCAUCGGCUAACUCCGUG
This 435-nucleotide ribosomal RNA is filed under the name uncultured bacterium. RNAcentral's name for it is "partial 16S ribosomal RNA". It matches the Rfam family "Bacterial small subunit ribosomal RNA", at positions 28 to 507 of the family's 1533-position model. The record is from RNAcentral.